This 279-nucleotide ribosomal RNA is filed under the name uncultured bacterium. RNAcentral's name for it is "partial 16S ribosomal RNA". It matches the Rfam family "Bacterial small subunit ribosomal RNA", at positions 506 to 784 of the family's 1533-position model. The record is from RNAcentral.
UGCCAGCCGCCGCGGUAAUACGAAGGGGACUAGCGUUGUUCGGAAUUACUGGGCGUAAAGCGCGUGUAGGCGGAUCAAUUAGUCAGGGGUGAAAUCCCGGGGCUCAACCCCGGAACUGCCUUUGAUACUGUUGGUCUAGAGACCGGUAGAGGUGAGUGGAAUUCCGAGUGUAGAGGUGAAAUUCGUAGAUAUUCGGAGGAACACCAGUGGCGAAGGCGGCUCACUGGACCGGUACUGACGCUGAGACGCGAAAGUGUGGGGAGCAAACAGGAUUAGAUA